Molecule: ribosomal RNA, 575 nt
Filed under: Fusarium oxysporum
Lineage: Eukaryota; Fungi; Ascomycota; Sordariomycetes; Hypocreales; Nectriaceae
Description: eukaryotic LSU rRNA
Rfam family: Eukaryotic large subunit ribosomal RNA
Source: RNAcentral
CAGGGAUUGCCCUAGUAACGGCGAGUGAAGCGGCAACAGCUCAAAUUUGAAAUCUGGCUCUCGGGCCCGAGUUGUAAUUUGUAGAGGAUACUUUUGAUGCGGUGCCUUCCGAGUUCCCUGGAACGGGACGCCAUAGAGGGUGAGAGCCCCGUCUGGUUGGAUGCCAAAUCUCUGUAAAGUUCCUUCAACGAGUCGAGUAGUUUGGGAAUGCUGCUCUAAAUGGGAGGUAUAUGUCUUCUAAAGCUAAAUACCGGCCAGAGACCGAUAGCGCACAAGUAGAGUGAUCGAAAGAUGAAAAGCACUUUGAAAAGAGAGUUAAAAAGUACGUGAAAUUGUUGAAAGGGAAGCGUUUAUGACCAGACUUGGGCUUGGUUAAUCAUCUGGGGUUCUCCCCAGUGCACUUUUCCAGUCCAGGCCAGCAUCAGUUUUCCCCGGGGGAUAAAGGCGGCGGGAAUGUGGCUCUCUUCGGGGAGUGUUAUAGCCCACCGUGUAAUACCCUGGGGGGGACUGAGGUUCGCGCAUCUGCAAGGAUGCUGGCGUAAUGGUCAUCAACGACCCGUCUUGAAACACGGACC